RNAcentral lists this long non-coding RNA (284 nucleotides) under Dromaius novaehollandiae (emu). Its description in RNAcentral is "lncRNA (ENSDNVG00000000607.1)". Lineage: Eukaryota; Metazoa; Chordata; Aves; Casuariiformes; Dromaiidae. The record is from RNAcentral.
GAAUACUUAAAGAAUUUACUGACCUUCAGAGUGAAGAGAAUCCCUACGAAGGCCAAGAAGAAGAAGAUGCCAGAUAAAGAACUCGGCUUACUGACUGAGGAUUUGCAGGAAGUGUAGAAGCAGGCAGCAGGUGGAAAGUUCACACCUUUUUAGCCAGUCACUUUCACUGAUGAAUGCUUCCAUGUCUCUGGUUCCCUGCAGUUCCCAAAGGAUUGAAGAUAACAGCCUUCAACACAGACACUGCAUAAUGGGUAAGAUGUCUGUAAUGUAUAAUUCAGCUCAAG